GUGCACAAUUCGUCUGAAAUAUGCUUGUAGACGCCGGACUACUAGAUGUGAUUGCCAAAUCACAGAUGAAGAACGCAACCACCAGAGGCAUAUUUAAGUUCUAAUUGAUAAAUUGAAAAUUAUAAUAGAUGAAGAUGAAGAUUUUGACCAUCAGAUGCAUUCAGUAAUUAUAAUAGAUGAUACAGUUUUAAUACUUCUUGAUGAAGAACCCGACUACAAAAGACAAUUUUUAAUUCGAUUAGAUGAUGACUACGAGAGGCAAUCUUUUAUUCUAAGUUUUGUGGAAUUUUGGGAAUUCGGCUACCAAUAGCAAUAUUUGAUAUUAGUGCCCCCCCCCCUCCCCCCGAAAAAGAUCCUUUGUAAAUAGGGUUAUCAAAGCUUGAUUAAGCGGAAAAUCAUGUUCUGCUAUUUUAUUCUUUUAAUUUUACCGGAACAUUGAUUUAUAUUGUAUUUAUAUACCAUAUAUAAACUAUGCAGGCUCAUUCGGGUAUCCUUUUCUAAUUUUGAUACGAGUGC
RNAcentral lists this long non-coding RNA (516 nucleotides) under Mytilus galloprovincialis (Mediterranean mussel). Lineage: Eukaryota; Metazoa; Mollusca; Bivalvia; Mytilida; Mytilidae. The record is from RNAcentral.